RNAcentral lists this transfer RNA (75 nucleotides) under Campylobacter sp. RNAcentral's name for it is "tRNA-Glu". It matches the Rfam family "tRNA". From Rfam's summary of the family: Transfer RNA (tRNA) molecules are approximately 80 nucleotides in length. Their secondary structure includes four short double-helical elements and three loops (D, anti-codon, and T loops). The record is from RNAcentral. Lineage: Bacteria; Pseudomonadati; Campylobacterota; Epsilonproteobacteria; Campylobacterales; Campylobacteraceae.
GGCCCACUCGUCUAGUGGUUAGGACGCUGGCCUCUCACGCCGGUAACAGGAGUUCGAAUCUCCUGUGGGUCACCA